AUACAACCUCUCCAAUGUCGAAAUUGAGCUUUCUUGAUUUCCAAUACAACCUCUCAAAGAGGAGUUUCCUGCGUAAGCCAACUAGAAUGUUUACCAAAGAGAGACAAAACUCAGGCUUAUUGCCUAUUUACCAACUUAGUGUGGAUGAACUAAAGAAAGUCUUUGAUAAAUUUGAUACAAACAAAGAUGGCAAGAUUUCACCAGAGGAGUACAAGGGGAUCUUAAAAGCUAUGGGGAAGAAAAACCUCCUUACGAGGGAAGUUCAAAAGAUUUUCGACGUUGCAGAUGCAAAUGGUGAUGGAUUUAUUGAUUUCAAGGAGUUCGUGGAAGCGCAAAAGAAGGAAGGUGGUGUCAAAACUAUGGAUUUGAAGAGUGCAUUUCACACUUUUGACAAAGAUGGUGAUGGAAAGAUCAGUGUGCAGGAAGUGUACGAGUUGCAGAAGGGGCUCGGACAGAGGUGCAGCCUUCAAGAUUGCAGGAAAAUGGUGAAAGCUGUGGAUGCAAAUGGAGAUGGUGUGAUUGAUUUGGAUGAAUUCAUGACUAUGAUGACUCGCACUAUGACACUUUGUUAGAAGCUUUUUCAUCCCUAAUGGAAGGCCCCAACUAGGAAUUCCUAGCUCAUCAGUCAUCACAUGGCUUAGAUAUAUGUUUCCUUGUAUAAAUGCAAGAUUUCUGCAUGCUGGUAGCAAUAGUUCUUACUAGUUUGAUAUGAAGGCCCUAUCUGGGAAUUCCUAGCUCAUCAGCCUCCCUGCUCGUCCAGGGUAGGGGUAAGGCUGCUUACAUCUUACUUUCCCUAGACCCCACUUGUGGUGGGAAUACUUUGGGUCGUUGUUUUUGGGUAUCCAAUAGGUUUUGCAACUAUGAAAAGUUAAUAGCAUUGACAAAGAUCAUAAAUUUCACAAUAAAAUCCACUGCACCAAGGAUGGUACAUGCUGACUAGUGUAAUUCAUUAAUGUUAAUGCCAUUGUGGUACAUCUCGUAUGAUAUUUGCAAAAUCAUGUUUAAUCAGAAAUGAGAAAGUUAAUUGUUUCCCAUAUUAAUUCACAUAGCAAAAGGUGGAAAUGAC
Molecule: long non-coding RNA, 1066 nt
Filed under: Nicotiana benthamiana
Lineage: Eukaryota; Viridiplantae; Streptophyta; Magnoliopsida; Solanales; Solanaceae
Description: long non-coding RNA (NBEN_LNC004256)
Source: RNAcentral